CAGCCCUGGCCGACAGAGAGCUGGGUCAGGCCCUGAAGGGGGAGGGGUCUUCACCUCCAGCCCCACCUCCCCCACUCACAGGGGACUCUGGGGAGCUGGGCCCGAGUCACAGGAGGCCAAGGCUGAUGUCAGGGCACGCAUGAGCAAGGGAUCCCGCCUUUCCCCCUCCCAGGACUGGGACCCUCUCCUGGUCCAGAGAAUGGGAUGGGGACCCCAGGCUCGGGGGUCAUUUGUGGUUUAUGAGCAUUGGAGGGAACUCUGGCAAACCGGACUAGGCCUCCUUUUCCUCCCCCUGAGAGACUUGGGAAGAGGGACAUGCUCCUCGCUUGAAGCAGGAAGGAGGGGACGCAGUCUGGGCCUGGCCUGCCUCUGACCAGCAGACUCCCAGAUCUCCUAGUCACUUUCAACCUCCCCCCAGGUUCCAGAGGGACCCCACUCCUGGCCUAGCUGAGGCUGGACACGAAGUCUGCAUCUCCUGGGAAGGAGACCCGUCCCUUGCCUGGCACACCACCCGAGGGAUAAGUCGAGAGGUAAAAAAAACUGAGGCCCAGAGGAAUGAAGGGCUCUACGAGGGAUCAGAUGAGAUGUCAAGAUGCAAUCCCUACGUCUCCCAGAACACUGAUCUGAGCCCAGGCGGCUGACAGUAUGCGCCUGUGUGGGCGGCGACAGAUUCCAUGUGACGCUGUACCCUGUCGGUGUGUUCCUGUGGGCUGAGCGUUCUCUGUGUCUAUGAUCACGCGUGAUGCAGAAUUUGUACAAUUACAUGUUUGCAGUUGGUUAA
Felis catus (domestic cat) is the source of this 781-nucleotide long non-coding RNA. RefSeq lists it as uncharacterized. Lineage: Eukaryota; Metazoa; Chordata; Mammalia; Carnivora; Felidae. The record is from RefSeq and is a predicted model, not a curated record. The transcript has 2 exons.